This 401-nucleotide ribosomal RNA is filed under the name uncultured bacterium. RNAcentral's name for it is "bacterial SSU rRNA". It matches the Rfam family "Bacterial small subunit ribosomal RNA", at positions 335 to 755 of the family's 1533-position model. The record is from RNAcentral.
ACUCCUACGGGAGGCAGCAGUGGGAAUCUUAGACAAUGGGGAAAGCCUCGAUCUAGCCAUGCCGCGUGAGCGAUGAAGGCCUUAGGGUUGUAAAGCUCUUUCAGCUGGGAAGAUAAUGACGGUACCAGCAGAAGAAGCCCCGGCUAACUCCGUGCCAGCAGCCGCGGUAAUACGGAGGGGCUAGCGUUGUUCGGAAUUACUGGGCGUAAAGCGCACGUAGGCGGAUUGGUAAGUUGGGGGUGAAAUCCCGGGGCUCAACCCCGGAACUGCCUCCAAAACUCCCAGUCUUGAGGUCGAGAGAGGUGAGUGGAAUUCCGAGUGUAGAGGUGAAAUUCGUAGAUAUUCGGAGGAACACCAGUGGCGAAGGCGGCUCACUGGCUCGAUACUGACGCUGAGGUGCG